Molecule: ribosomal RNA, 314 nt
Filed under: Staphylococcus aureus
Lineage: Bacteria; Bacillati; Bacillota; Bacilli; Caryophanales; Staphylococcaceae
Description: partial 23S ribosomal RNA
Rfam family: Bacterial large subunit ribosomal RNA
Source: RNAcentral
CUCUCUAGUGACCGAUAGUGAACCAGUACCGUGAGGGAAAGGUGAAAAGUACCCCGGAAGGGGAGUGAAAUAGAACCUGAAACCGUGUGCUUACAAGUAGUCAGAGCCCGUUAAUGGGUGAUGGAGUGCCUUUUGUAGAAUGAACCGGCGAGUUACGAUUUGAUGCAAGGUUAAGCAGUAAAUGUGGAGCCGUAGCGAAAGCGAGUCUGAAUAGGGCGUUUAGUAUUUGGUCGUAGACCCGAAACCAGGUGAUCUACCCUUGGUCAGGUUGAAGUUCAGGUAACACUGAAUGGAGGACCGAACCGACUUACGUU